Molecule: non-coding RNA, 27 nt
Filed under: Mus musculus (house mouse)
Lineage: Eukaryota; Metazoa; Chordata; Mammalia; Rodentia; Muridae
Source: RNAcentral
UACCUGAAGGUCACUGUGAUGAAGUGG